CCUCGCGCCUGAAAGGGCGACGGUGGAAACCGGAGCGAGAAGUCAGCAGAGGCCGUAGUAGCUGCCAGCACGGGGCGAAGGGC
Molecule: non-coding RNA, 83 nt
Filed under: Collimonas sp. OK607
Lineage: Bacteria; Pseudomonadati; Pseudomonadota; Betaproteobacteria; Burkholderiales; Oxalobacteraceae
Source: RNAcentral